GACGAACGCUGGCGGCGUGCUUAACACAUGCAAGUCGAACGCUGAAGCUCAGCUUUUGUUGGGUGGAUGAGUGGCGAACGGGUGAGUAACACGUGAGUAACCUGCCCCCUUCUUUGGGAUAACGCCCGGAAACGGGUGCUAAUACUGGAUAUUCACUGGUCUUCGCAUGGGGGUUGGUGGAAAGGGUUUUUCUGGUGGGGGAUGGGCUCGCGGCCUAUCAGCUUGUUGGUGGGGUGAUGGCCUACCAAGGCUUUGACGGGUAGCCGGCCUGAGAGGGUGACCGGUCACAUUGGGACUGAGAUACGGCCCAGACUCCUACGGGAGGCAGCAGUGGGGAAUAUUGCACAAUGGGCGCAAGCCUGAUGCAGCGAGGCCGCGUGAGGGAUGGAGGCCUUCGGGUUGUGAACCUCUUUCGCUCAUGGUCAAGCCGCAACAAUGGUUGUGGUGAGGGUAGUGGGUAAAGAAGCGCCGGCUAACUACGUG
Molecule: ribosomal RNA, 483 nt
Filed under: uncultured bacterium
Lineage: Bacteria
Description: partial 16S ribosomal RNA
Rfam family: Bacterial small subunit ribosomal RNA
Source: RNAcentral